GAUUAGAGUUUGAUUCCAUGGCUCAGGACGAACGCUGGCGGCGUGCCUAACACAUGCAAGUCGAGCGGAGUAUUUAGGUUUACUUAGAUACUUAGCGGCGGACGGGUGAGUAACGCGUGAGCAACCUGCCUUAUACAGGGGAAUAGCCUUGGGAAACCAGGAUUAAUGCCCCAUGACAUUUUCUUGUUGCAUGAUGAGAAAAUCAAAACGGUUAAGUGGUAUAAGAUGGGCUCGCGUCUGAUUAGCUAGUUGGUGGGGUAAAAGCCUACCAAGGCGAGGGUCAGUAGCCGGCCUGAGAGGGUGAACGGCCACACUGGAACUGAGACACGGUCCAGACUCCUACGGGAGGCAGCAGUGGGGAAUAUUGCACAAUGGGGGAAACCCUGAUGCAGCGACGCCGCGUGAGCGAAGAAGGUUUUCGGAUCGUAAAGCUCUGUCCUUGGAGAAGAAAAUGAC
Molecule: ribosomal RNA, 456 nt
Filed under: uncultured bacterium
Lineage: Bacteria
Description: bacterial SSU rRNA
Rfam family: Bacterial small subunit ribosomal RNA
Source: RNAcentral